CAAAUGUCUGAAACCCUGAGUCAGAACCCAGAGGAAGAACCUCAGGAUAAAAGGGAGUCACAGCAUAGAACAAUUGGGAGUCUCGCUGAGGAGAGGAUGCUGUGCCUCAGACCCGGACAAUCGGCAUCCCACCUGCCAUACAGACUAUUGGGACUUCCCCGGCGGAUUGCGGUGUGGAUGUUGCGUGGCUCCUGACAGGCAAUUCACUGGAAAGGCAGUGAUGUGGGGGUGAAGACACAGCGGGGAUCCCACCCCCUCCAUUGCACCUGUGACCUCGAAUACGCACCUGCUUCCCCGGGACCCGGUGUCCUGGAGUGUUGACUGAAGGCGCCUGCCCCGAGCACCUCCAGGAUCCUGAAGGCCCGGCCAGCUGUGCACUGUCUCCUUGACCCCGCAGCCCCAGGAGCAUGGGCUCAGCCGGGACGGGUGCUUUUCCUGCCAACCACCUCCAGCUCACUCACACACACACCUCGUCCAGCAGCUCUGCCCGGCACGGCCUUGCUGGGUCCCUCAACCCCGUACUUGCUGUGGAGACGCUCUCUCGAGUGUCUUGUCCCUUUCCUGCCUCAGCUGGUCCGUGUCAAUGGGCUGUCCUUUGCUGCCCAAGGCUCCGUCUGGGCCUGGGGCCCCUCUGUUCUAGAUUAGAGACAGAAAAGGAGAAGGUGUAACAGGUUAGGAUGGAAGAGCGCAGACCCUGAAGGCUAUUUGUUCUUUUUUUCAUCUGUAUGGUGGUUUUUAAAUCUAUUCACAAAUACUUUGACCUCCUUCCUUCAAAAAGUGAAGUCUAAGGGCUCGCCUGCUGGUGCAGCAGUUAAGUUUACACGUUCCAUUUGGGCAGCCCAGGGUUCACCAGCAGAUCCCAGGUGUGGACCUAGCACCACGUGUCAAGCCAUGCUGUGGCAGAUGCCCCACAUAUAAAGUAGAGGAAGAUAGGCACAGAUGUUAGCUCAGGGCUAAUCUUCCUCAGCAAAAAGAGAAGGAUUGGUGUGGAUAUUAGCUCAGGGCCAAUCUUCCCCAGCAAAAAGAGGAGGAUUGGUGUAGAUGUCAGCUCAGCGCUAAUCUUCCACAAAAAAAAAAAAAAAAAGUGAAGUCUAACUCCUCUCCACAAAUGUGGGCCGUCCUUUGUGACUCACUUCUAAGGGACAGAAUGUGGUAGAGGUACCGCUCGCUGUACGAUGGCCAAGGCCUGGUCAUAAAUAGGGUAGCGUCUGCCUGGCUCUCUCUCGUUCCCUUGGGUCGCUUGAUCUGAGGUCGGGAGGACACAGCAGCAGACUGGGGGGCUAGAACCGAGACCUCCUGCCAGCUCCAGCACCAGCCAGUGCUGCGGGUGAGCCACUGCGGAGGCUUCAGAGGACGACGACCUCGUGAGAGACCUGAGCCAGAACCAGCUGGCCAAGCCACACUGAAUUCUUGACCCACAGAAACCUCGAGGAUAAGAAACAUUCAUUGUUUUUUAUGCCAUUAACCUUGGGGUAAUUUGCUACACAGCAGUAGACAAUUAAUGCAACCAGAAUCCCCCACUGCAGCUGUUUGUGUUGCUCAUCUCUUUCUUUGCACAGAGAAAACAAGCGAGCCCUGACUUUAGGAGGAUGCAGAGCAGACGAGGCUUAACUGUGCUACUGCCCCGACCUCGCGCCUGCCAGGGGAGUGACCCAGCUUUGGUCCACACGGCCGGUACACGCACACACCCACAGCUUUAGCUGGGCAGGGCCUGGUGCGGCCGGGGUGGCCACUACUGUACAGGCCUGUCCAAGACUCGCCCGCCACCCACUUUGGGAGGAGCACGACUAACCCAGAGAUGGCCCUGUCACCUGGCUCACAGACACCAACACUGAGCAUCCCCAAGCAUCAUGAUGCAAACGAUCUCCCUCCAGUGCAGGGCAGGACCCGAGCUGCAGACGGUGCUCUGAGGACCACAGACGGAUUAUGCUGGCAGCCGGGGCCGUUGCUGACGAAGUCCACUGGCUUCCCCAAGGCAUGUGCGGGCCAAGGUGUGAGGCUGCCGCUUUCCCUCCUGACCCAGGCUUCGGACACCAAGGGCUCGGGGAGGGAGAGGGAUGGCCCCGUGCUGAGCCUAGGCCUCCAGCCGAGAGCGCGGGAGGCGGCGCAGCCCCUCUUCCACAUAGGCAGUGGCAGACCCAUCAUCUGAGCACCAAGCACGGCCGGCACUCUCAGGGACGCCUGCCAGCACUCGAUGUGCCCUACGGACCUCCCAUUAACAGGGACAGACAUGCAAAUCAAUCCAGUUUAGCAAACACUGUCUGACUGUCAACUGUGUGGGGGACACAGGAGCAGUGGCUAGAGGAAAGAGGGAAUUAGCGUGGCUCCUGCCUUCAAAAGCACCACUCUCCAGGCGGUGGGGAAAACAGGAUGACCAGGAAAACUGUGGACAAGAACUGAACUGAGGAGCCAGUAGCCUCUGCCACUUCUGAAUGCCCAAGGACUGGGGACAGUAAGAGACGCUCUGUGGAAGGGUCUGCCUCUGGCCUGGCCUCUGGAGGGAUCAAGAAGAAAGGCUUUUAAGGAGGGCCAGCAGCAAGUCAUCAUGGAGCGUGGGAGAGUGGGGUGGCUCAGGGUAUGUGGGCAUCUCUCCAUCAUGGCAGUAAGCUAUACGGGUCAGCUAGGACACAAGAGUGCUGUGUAACAAACAACCCCAAAGCAGCAGCAGCCUACAACCAUAAGCUUUAGUUUCCUGCUCACAGGUUUGCAAGUUGGCUGAGCAUCUCUGCUCCAGCCUGUGGGUCCAGUUCAGGUCUGCUCACAUGCCUCUCCUGCCAGGAUCCAGGCCAUAGGAGCAACAUACCCUUCUCAAGGUGCAACGCAGGCGUGCAAGAGGCCAAGCCGAACCACACGGCCACAGUGAAAGCGCCCCAGUGCACAGACACACCCUGCGUCUGCCCAUACUCCACGGGUUGCAGCAAGUCACAUGGCUGGUCCCAAAGUCAGCAGGGCCGGGAAGUACACCUGACCAGGAUGAGCCACACAAUGAUGGUUAGAGAAAGAAAAAUUGUGAACAAAUCAUACAAUCCUCUUAGCAGAUGGUGGCCAAGAAGUCAUAGGAGCUGAGACUGGAAACACAGACUGGAGCCUCGUACAAGAGAGACUGGCUGGUUGUUUGCCAAACCACUUCUUUCCUUCCUGGGCGCAAAACGACACUGUAGUUCCCAGCUUUCUUCGUAGCUUGUGUCUGAAUUCUGGCCAAUGGAGUGUGGUAGACGUGGGCCCUACCGCCAGGCCCAGGCCAAGGAAAGGCCACACAGAGCCCUCCACUCUUCCCUCAUCUGCUGGUAGACAGACAGAAUCCAGCGGAGGAACCCGAGGCCCGAGGUGAUGGCAGAGCCACAGUGUGGAAGGAGCCCGGGUCCCCGAGUCACCGCUGGGAGGACAGCGCCCAGGAGAGCCACCUGACCAGGACACUCAUGGUCGUUUGUUCUGGAAGUCGUGAGUGACUUUUUAUUGUGUUCAGCCACAGAGGUUUGGAGAUCAUUUGUCAUAGCGAUUAAUCUGGCCUCCUACUGGCCCGUGCCGCAGAGGCCCCUGGCAUGCGACUAAGUGGGCUCACUCGGAGCUGGAGCCGGGCAGGCCCGGACCGCACGAGCAGCCCAGCACUUGUUAGAGGGACGACCUUGAGGAAACCGCUUCGCCUCUCCAGGGCUUAAUUUCUCAUCUUUCAGUGGGGAUUUAUAGCUCCUACCGCAAAAGAUGCAUCACCGGCAAACCGCCACUGCACCAGGUGGGUCCCGCUGAGCCCCUGCGGGUUGCCCUGCAGCCCAGAAGUUUGCGAGAGGCUUUUAGGAGAUUGAAAGCCAGCCACAUAGCUUGUCCAGGGUUAAGACGUCCUGCGGGCUCCUCUGCUGGGGACAGGGGAGCAGGACACCCUCACUGGGCCUGGGCCUGAGAAGGUCAGCCCGGGUCAGGCGGGGUCCUCCACCCCACACACAUUUACCGCAGAGCUGGCAGGCGCAGGGUGAGUCUCUCCUGUCAGCCUGCUGCCGCCCCGCCCCCACCCCCCAAACCCGCAAAGGCCACUUGGAACCCGAGAUGCUGAGGCUGGACACCAGGGGACAGACAGACACACAGACAGGAACCGACAAGCAGAAGAGAGAAGCCAGCUUCUGAAAGAAAAGCAGAGAAAGGGACCCAGCGAGGAGAGAGGGAGACCCAACCCACGAGGUCAUUGGGGUCGGAGCGGACGCGGUCCCCGUGCCACCACAGGGCGCCAGUUCUCAGGCUGCCUUCUCAGCUCAAACGAGCGCCCUGCCCGGAGCACGUGGCUGCGCAUCCUGAGCGGAGCGGCGCGUCCACGGGCAGCCGGGGCGGCCCGCGCAUCCCCGCAGGGAACCGAGCGGGUCCCAGCGGCCCCUCCACGAGCACGGCUUCCACCCUGAGCCUGCACGAACAAAACAGGAAAGGCUUGCGACAGAUUGGGAAUUUCACCCCGAUCUCGAUUUCCAAAGGCGGGCAGGCCGACGACAACGUCCCUCAGGCCUCAGCCUCCUGUGACCUCACGCGGCAGCGCCACGCCCUCCGCAAACGCGGCGUGACCCCAGCACCUGCCGCUCCUCAGCUCCAGGGGCACGCCCGCGCUCAGCCGGGUUUAGAGCCGCCAGAGGGAACACCACCCAUCCGCAUUUGGGAGACAAGGCCAGUGAGGAUAAACGCCACCUCCCGCCGCGCUGGCCCGCCCGCCUGGCGAGCAGCUGGCACGCGAGCAGCGCCCCGGGCCUGGGCCUCCCGGUGGGCGGGGGCCAUCUGCACCCGGGCAGGGAGGGGCGCUCGGGGAGAACCGGCCAAAACGACCGGCCUGGUUCACGGGAUGUGUUGGUGGCACAACUCAGCCUAAACGGCAAACCUGACCGCCAGGCCCGUGCUGUGCCGCCGCAGCACACGCUGGCUCCUGAGGGUAGCUCCAUUUUCUCAUUGAUAAAACGGGGAUGUCACAAGGACGGGAGGAAAUAGUGGAUCACGGUGACUCGCAUGGCUCCGUGACUGACGCACAGUAAGCCCUCAGCAAAUGUCAGCGUUGCUGUAGCUAUUAUCGUUAAUAAUUGCUGUUAUUACUACUAUUAAUAACAACAAUAAUAAAGUGGGGCCAUGUGGCAUGCUCUUCCGUGCAGG
Molecule: long non-coding RNA, 5118 nt
Filed under: Equus caballus (horse)
Lineage: Eukaryota; Metazoa; Chordata; Mammalia; Perissodactyla; Equidae
Description: lncRNA (ENSECAG00000030268.2)
Source: RNAcentral